This 497-nucleotide ribosomal RNA is filed under the name uncultured bacterium. RNAcentral describes it as "partial 16S ribosomal RNA". It matches the Rfam family "Bacterial small subunit ribosomal RNA", at positions 28 to 507 of the family's 1533-position model. The record is from RNAcentral.
GAUGAACGCUGGCGGCGUGCCUAACACAUGCAAGUCGAGCGAACAGACGAGGAGCUUGCUCCUCUGACGUUAGCGGCGGACGGGUGAGUAACACGUGGAUAACCUACCUAUAAGACUGGGAUAACUUCGGGAAACCGGAGCUAAUACCGGAGAAUAUAUUGAACCGCAUGGUUCAAUAGUGAAAGACGGUUUUGCUGUCACUUAUAGAUGGAUCCGCGCCGCAUUAGCUAGUUGGUAAGGUAACGGCUUACCAAGGCAACGAUGCGUAGCCGACCUGAGAGGGUGAUCGGCCACACUGGAACUGAGACACGGUCCAGACGCCUACGGGAGGCAGCAGUAGGGAAUCUUCCGCAAUGGGCGAAAGCCUGACGGAGCAACGCCGCGUGAGUGAUGAAGGUCUUCGGAUCGUAAAACCCUGUUAUUAGGGAAGAACAAAUGUGUAAGUAACUGUGCACGUCUUGACGGUACCUAAUCAGAAAGCCCCGGCUAACUACGUG